Varanus komodoensis (Komodo dragon) is the source of this 2910-nucleotide long non-coding RNA. RefSeq lists it as uncharacterized. The record is from RefSeq and is a predicted model, not a curated record. Lineage: Eukaryota; Metazoa; Chordata; Lepidosauria; Squamata; Varanidae. The transcript has 3 exons.
ACCUAUCACCAUGUGCUGUCUGUUUUGGAUGAACUGAGAGGAGAAAGUAAAUUAAAUAGAUUGGAGUUCUGUGGCACAAAGUUGCCCGUGAGUCACGAAAGAGUUAACCCUGGGCUUGGACGCGUGCAGGAUGGGAAUUGUAGGCGGAAAGGAUGCUGGGAGAUGUCGUAAAACUCUUUGCAGCCGCUUCCUGUAAUGGCCGAUCGCAGGGACAUAGCGGAGGGUGCCUUUCGUUUCUCUGGCAAAAACGCCGCGUUCAGUGAUCGACGUGCAGCUGGGGGGCUGCCCCAAGUUAUACGUGUCUGGGGAUAUGUUGUCAUUGAUUAAGUGGCAAAGGACGCUUUCAGAAGGAGCAGAUUGCUUGGGGUGUCUCUGGUAUUGGUGGAAAUGUCAUGAUUCUGGUUGCUGACGGACUCUCGUGUUCUGUGCUUUUAUUUUCCUGGAGGGAAACAAAAAUCUGCAAUGCUAUUCACAGGUUUUUAAAAUUUAUAUCUUGAUUUAAAUACUCAGCUAAGUUGCUUAUAUCACUUGCUAGGAUCUGGGUGCACUGGCUAAUCAGCUGAGGAGAAUGGUGGGCCUUGUGUUUUGCCAAAGUAGUCGCAUGGUUAAACCAGUUAAGAACAUUCCUGUGUUUCAAAAUGGUUUGUACGUAUUUCAUAUACAGGAGAAUGGAGUCUCCUUAGAGGUAGGUCUAAAAAACGCACACAUACUAAGAAAAUUGUGAGAUUUUGGUUGAAAUAGGUAUUACAAAGAUAGGCAGUAUUGUGAUUUGUAUUUAUGAAAUAAUUAUUCUUCCAAGUUAAUAGCCUUACAAAUGUAAACACUGUUAAAGCUAAGGUUGGUUAGAGGCAAACAUAUAUGAUUUUUUGCAUGUGAAGUGCAUAGCGGAGCACUGAACCUAAAGGGUUAUAUUUAGAAUUCCAUUUGGGAUGUGGUAAAACAGAAUUUUGUAUUCAUUGGUGAUUUGUGGCCUCUUCCUAACUAUUUUAGUUUGGCAUCAGUUAUAGCAAAGCCCUCAUAAGUGCCUAUACCAACCAACCCUAUUCCUAUACAAUUCCCUUUUCAGUCUCUUGUUGCUCUUACCUUAUGUGUAAUUUAGAACAGGAAAAAAAACCAGACUAAAUGAAAAAAGGAGAGUGAUGGAGCUAAUGUUUGCAAUAAAGCUUGACAUCUAGAUCUUAAAAACAUGCAGUAAAUUAUUUUUGUUUUCAUUGGAUUUGUUUUGUGAUAUGUUUUAAGGUCAAGGCCUGAAAAGGAAACUGUAUCCAUUUAUCUGUCAGUAGAGCUUAAACAUAAAAAGGCGAUUUAGCAUCUGGUCAGCUAUAAUGUUCAUACUGAUUGUGUUCCAUUGGAGAGCAGUAAGCCAACCCUGAAAGCCCUUUGAUAGCUGAAGCCAGUUUCAAAUGAGGGGGAAUAAACAUUUAAGACCUAACUCUGUCUGCUAAGUGUCUUUGGAGCAUGAUGUAUUAUGUUUGAAAAGGACCGGGCUAGCCUGUGAGUGUUAUAAAUAACUGGUGUUACUUUGUCAACUUAAAAAUCCUAGAAGAAAACAUUGAUUUAGAUUGAAACUAGGCUAGUCAUGUUUAGCUGCACUGGAACUGAUGGGACAUGUCAGUCACAAAUAACUCCAAUUAACUUCAGUAGGACUGAUUAAGUUAAUCUGAAUCUAGCCUGUAAUAUUUUAGACCAUUAACUAUGAGUGUUCAUACAGGGAAAUGUAAGGAAGUUGAGUAAUUGUGAAUCCUUCUUUGUCACCUGUUGUCAUACAGAUCAGAAACCAAUGUGUUAUUGUUCUGCAUGAAAUAAUCAUACCUAUAUGUUUAACGAUUACUUAUAUUUAUGAAUCCAGUAGCCAGCUAUUGAAUCACAACCUCAGAUUUUGCAAGCAAGAGCAGAACCACAACAAAAGAAGAGAAAAUCAAAGGAAGAAAUGUUCAGUGUUUGGUAGAACAGUAAAAAGUUAAUUGCUUGAUUCCCAUUUCUGCUUUAGGUAAUACUGUUUAUACAUACAUUGCAUUGGAUCCAAAGACCUAUGAAUGGAAGGAAAAUAGUUAUUAGUGCUGUUUUGACAACCUUUGCACAAAAGCUCACACAGUGUUAAAUACUUUGGAAACAACUUUAAACCACAGUAAAGAACAAUCUUACCUGAUGCCAUCCAAGUAUGUAGACUACAACUUCAUCAAUCUGGUGUUCUGCAGGUGUGUUGGCUGGGUCAUCCUGGGAUACCUGGAGGUCACCAGGUUGGGAAGACUGGUACAAGGAAGUGGUUUUCCCAGCUUCCCUUGUGCAAUUAAUCUUUCAGAAGUGCUUCAUAAGAACCAUGACACUAAGGAAACUUAAGUGUAAGUAGCUUUUUCCUUAGUAUUAUGCUUCCCUCUACUUGUAGAGUAGCAUAUUUUGCCACACCCAAAAUAUGAGCAAUGGAACCAUAUGCAUGGUUACUGAAGUCUCAUUGAGUUCAAUGGGACUUACUCCCAGGUAAGUGGAUUUCGGACUAAGUGAGCAAAAACUUGCCAAGAUGAUGGAUGACAAGAUGCUGCAUUAUGGGUGAGCAGGGAAGUCUGGCCUUCAGCCUAGAACAUACAUCAGAAUACUCAGUGUGGACCCGAAAAGGACCAACAAAAUAAAACACAUUUACCUCAAAGACUCACUGAUCUCAGUGGUACUUUUUACACAGCUUACUCUGAAGUAAAUAUUGUGGGAUCUCAGGCUGCAUAAACAAGUUUAACAGACUUCUUGGCAAGAUAGCUGGCUUUUGUUUGAAUUCUAAGGAAAAAUACAGUCAGACUCUUCAGUACACAGAAAUAACCCUGGUCAUGACUAUAUACAGGAAAGUUUAUAAUAUGAAAAUGUAGUUCUGUUUAUUCUUGUUACUGUACUUUGUCUUUUCAAUAAAAGGUUGACAAUAUA